Molecule: transfer-messenger RNA, 419 nt
Filed under: Candidatus Omnitrophota bacterium
Lineage: Bacteria; Pseudomonadati; Candidatus Omnitrophota
Rfam family: transfer-messenger RNA
About the family: Bacterial tmRNA, also known as 10Sa RNA or SsrA, is named for its dual tRNA and mRNA-like properties. Its role is to liberate the mRNA from a stalled ribosome. To accomplish this part of the tmRNA is used as a reading frame that ends in a translation stop signal.
Source: RNAcentral
GGGGGUGAAAGGCUUCGACCCAGAUAAGCAUGACAAGGGUGGCAUGUAGAGGUCGUCAGGAGGCCUCUUAAAACACCUGACAAAUAUCAAAUGCUGAAACUCUAAACGUUCCGGCAUCAGUAGAUCAGCUUCUUGCAACCAUGCAAGUGGUUAAAGGCGCUGCUCCACUGGCAAGCGUUGCUCUCUAAAUAGAGCAACCCGUCUUCUGAUCCAGCCUGUGGGGUUAGAAAGACGUCAUUAACAGGAUAGUCUCGAUUUUUUUCAGUCCUUGGGGAUCGGGAUGAAAUUUUUAAGGACUCAGCUGCCGGAAAUUCCGCCUGUUGAAGUUCCGGCGGUAAGAUGAAAAAGCGGGAUAAACAUAGUAGAGGCUCUUGAUCUGAUGUUUGGGCACGCGGGUUCGAAUCCCGCCACCUCCACCA